AAAUUGAAGAGUUUGAUCAUGGCUCAGAUUGAACGCUGGCGGCAGGCCUAACACAUGCAAGUCGAACGGUAACAGAAAGCAGCUUGCUGCUUUGCUGACGAGUGGCGGACGGGUGAGUAAUGUCUGGGAAACUGCCCGAUGGAGGGGGAUAACUACUGGAAACGGUAGCUAAUACCGCAUAACGUCGCAAGACCAAAGAGGGGGACCUUAGGGCCUCUUGCCAUCGGAUGUGCCCAGAUGGGAUUAGCUAGUAGGUGGGGUAAUGGCUCACCUAGGCGACGAUCCCUAGCUGGUCUGAGAGGAUGACCAGCCACACUGGAACUGAGACACGGUCCAGACUCCUACGGGAGGCAGCAGUGGGGAAUAUUGCACAAUGGGCGCAAGCCUGAUGCAGCCAUGCCGCGUGUAUGAAGAAGGCCUUCGGGUUGUAAAGUACUUUCAGCGGGGAGGAAGGGAGUAAAGUUAAUACCUUUGCUCAUUGACGUUACCCGCAGAAGAAGCACCGGCUAACUCCGUGCCAGCAGCCGCGGUAAUACGGAGGGUGCAAGCGUUAAUCGGAAUUACUGGGCGUAAAGCGCACGCAGGCGGUUUGUUAAGUCAGAUGUGAAAUCCCCGGGCUCAACCUGGGAACUGCAUCUGAUACUGGCAAGCUUGAGUCUCGUAGAGGGGGGGUAGAAUUCCAGGUGUAGCGGUGAAAUGCGUAGAGAUCUGGAGGAAUACCGGUGGCGAAGGCGGCCCCCCUGGACGAAGACUGACGCUCAGGUGCGAAAGCGUGGGGAGCAAACAGGAUUAGAUACCCUGGUAGUCCACGCCGUAAACGAUGUCGACUUGGAGGUUGUGCCCUUGAGGCGUGGCUUCCGGAGCUAACGCGUUAAGUCGACCGCCUGGGGAGUACGGCCGCAAGGUUAAAACUCAAAUGAAUUGACGGGGGCCCGCACAAGCGGUGGAGCAUGUGGUUUAAUUCGAUGCAACGCGAAGAACCUUACCUGGUCUUGACAUCCACGGAAGUUUUCAGAGAUGAGAAUGUGCCUUCGGGAACCGUGAGACAGGUGCUGCAUGGCUGUCGUCAGCUCGUGUUGUGAAAUGUUGGGUUAAGUCCCGCAACGAGCGCAACCCUUAUCCUUUGUUGCCAGCGGUCCGGCCGGGAACUCAAAGGAGACUGCCAGUGAUAAACUGGAGGAAGGUGGGGAUGACGUCAAGUCAUCAUGGCCCUUACGACCAGGGCUACACACGUGCUACAAUGGCGCAUACAAAGAGAAGCGACCUCGCGAGAGCAAGCGGACCUCAUAAAGUGCGUCGUAGUCCGGAUUGGAGUCUGCAACUCGACUCCAUGAAGUCGGAAUCGCUAGUAAUCGUGGAUCAGAAUGCCACGGUGAAUACGUUCCCGGGCCUUGUACACACCGCCCGUCACACCAUGGGAGUGGGUUGCAAAAGAAGUAGGUAGCUUAACCUUCGGGAGGGCGCUUACCACUUUGUGAUUCAUGACUGGGGUGAAGUCGUAACAAGGUAACCGUAGGGGAACCUGCGGUUGGAUCACCUCCUUA
RNAcentral lists this ribosomal RNA (1544 nucleotides) under Escherichia coli. RNAcentral's name for it is "bacterial SSU rRNA". It matches the Rfam family "Bacterial small subunit ribosomal RNA". Lineage: Bacteria; Pseudomonadati; Pseudomonadota; Gammaproteobacteria; Enterobacterales; Enterobacteriaceae. The record is from RNAcentral.